This 358-nucleotide RNase P RNA is filed under the name Clostridiales bacterium. RNAcentral describes it as "RNase P RNA component class A". It matches the Rfam family "Bacterial RNase P class A". From Rfam's summary of the family: Ribonuclease P (RNase P) is a ubiquitous endoribonuclease, found in archaea, bacteria and eukarya as well as chloroplasts and mitochondria. Its best characterised activity is the generation of mature 5'-ends of tRNAs by cleaving the 5'-leader elements of precursor-tRNAs. Lineage: Bacteria; Bacillati; Bacillota; Clostridia; Eubacteriales. The record is from RNAcentral.
CUGGGUAUCCGGACAGCUGCGUGGCAUGAAUUUGUCAUGAGGAAAGUCCGGGCUCCGCAGAGCAAGGGUGCCGGAUAACGUCCGGCGUAGGUAACUAUAGGGAAAGUGCAACAGAAACAUUCCGCCGAACGGGUGAGUUCACUGCGUGGUAAGGUUGAAAUGGUGAGGUAAGAGCUCACCGGCAGUAUGGUAACAUACUGGCCGUGUAAACCCCACCCGGAGCAAGACCAAGAAUGGACACAGGUGGCGGGCUGCUCGUCUGCCGUCCGAGAGGUAGGUCGCACGAGCGUGUCAGCAAUGGCACGCCUAGAUAGAUGGCUGUCUAUUACAGAACCCGGCUUACAGGAUGCCCAGUCAU